GGGAUGACGUCAAGUCAUCAUGGCCCUUACGAGUAGGGCUACACACGUGCUACAAUGGCGUAUACAAAGAGAAGCGACCUCACGAGAGCAAGCGGACCUCAUAAAGUACGUCGUAGUCCGGAUUGGAGUCUGCAACUCGACUCCAUGAAGUCGGAAUCGCUAGUAAUCGUGGAUCAGAAUGCCACGGUGAAUACGUUCCCGGGCCUUGUACACACCGCCCGUCACACCAUGGGAGUGGGUUGCAAAAGAAGUAGGUAGCUUAACCUUCGGGAGGGCGCUUACCACUUUGUGAUUCAUGACUGGGGUGAAGUCGUAACAAGGUAACCGUAGGGGAACCUGCGGUUGGAUCACCUCCUUACCUGAAA
Molecule: ribosomal RNA, 365 nt
Filed under: Edwardsiella anguillarum
Lineage: Bacteria; Pseudomonadati; Pseudomonadota; Gammaproteobacteria; Enterobacterales; Hafniaceae
Description: bacterial SSU rRNA
Rfam family: Bacterial small subunit ribosomal RNA
Source: RNAcentral